This 388-nucleotide ribosomal RNA is filed under the name uncultured bacterium. Its description in RNAcentral is "bacterial SSU rRNA". It matches the Rfam family "Bacterial small subunit ribosomal RNA", at positions 30 to 417 of the family's 1533-position model. The record is from RNAcentral.
AUUGAACGCUGGCGGCAUGCCUUACACAUGCAAGUCGAACGGCAGCACGGGAGCAAUCCUGGUGGCGAGUGGCGAACGGGUGAGUAAUAUAUCGGAACGUGCCCAGUCGUGGGGGAUAACGUAGCGAAAGCUACGCUAAUACCGCAUACGAUCUAUGGAUGAAAGCGGGGGAUCGCAAGACCUCGCGCGAUUGGAGCGGCCGAUAUCAGAUUAGGUAGUUGGUGAGGUAAAGGCUCACCAAGCCGACGAUCUGUAGCUGGUCUGAGAGGACGACCAGCCACACUGGGACUGAGACACGGCCCAGACUCCUACGGAGGCAGCAGUGGGGAAUUUUUGGGACAAUGGGCGCAAGCCUGAUCCAGCAAUGCCGCGUGCAGGAUGAAGGCCU